RNAcentral lists this small nucleolar RNA (105 nucleotides) under Podiceps cristatus (great crested grebe). RNAcentral's name for it is "Small nucleolar RNA SNORD125". It matches the Rfam family "Small nucleolar RNA SNORD125". The record is from Rfam by way of RNAcentral. Lineage: Eukaryota; Metazoa; Chordata; Aves; Podicipediformes; Podicipedidae.
GUUGGGAACGGCCUCGCGUGAUGACGCUUCUCUCUCUGAUGGCUGUGGUGAUGAGGAUCAUCAAACCAAAGCCUCUAAGAAGUUGACUGAAGAGACCGUUCCUCC